Molecule: long non-coding RNA, 549 nt
Organism: Mauremys mutica (yellowpond turtle)
Lineage: Eukaryota; Metazoa; Chordata; Testudines; Geoemydidae
Exons: 5
Source: RefSeq, a predicted model, not a curated record
CUGACUUUGCAUUUUUAUAUACUGUUUUCAAGAGAAGCAUAUAACUGAGUGAAGUUAUAGUUUGGUUAAAUGUUAAAGAUGAACUAUUACAGAAGAAUAAGCUGAAAUUCUGUUUUGUCAUCAAAAGUUUUACAAGAGUCAUUUCUAGAGAACCUCAGCUAGCUACAAGAAAAAUGCAACAUUCCCAUGAUAGCAACUAGCAGAGUGAUGAUGGAGAAACUGCAACUUGAGCAAACAUAGCCUGCGAAGUUGGCCAAGGGAUGCACCGCAAAAUGACCCAUGAAACGCAACUUGCAGAGGAAUUUAUGUUGCCUACUAGCACACUGGAAAAGACUGUAAUUGUGUCCGUCCUUUGCUCCACCGUCAUUUGUAGUCCCAAUUCCUGCAGUGAACAGUAACAGCUGAAAGCUGAUGACAGAGCAAAAAUCUGGCAAUAGCUAUGGCUGGCUUUUCCUCCAUUGUGUUAGCAACACUCGAUAACCAACUGGCACAAGUGAGGCCCUAUUCUGAGAAAGUCAGUCUACUAUCAGAACAAAAUCACCUUUCCAG